GACGGAGGGUGCAAGCGUUGUUCGGAUUGACUGGGCGUAAAGGGCGUGUAGGCGGGCCAGCAAGUCAGGGGUGAAAGCCCACGGCUCAACCGUGGAAGUGCCUCUGAUACUGUUGGCCUCGAGGGAGGUAGGGGCGUGCGGAACUUCCGGUGGAGCGGUGAAAUGCGUAGAUAUCGGAAGGAACAUCGGUGGCGAAAGCGGCGCGCUGGACCUCUACUGACGCUGAGGCGCGAAAGCCAGGGGAGCAAACGGG
Molecule: ribosomal RNA, 253 nt
Filed under: uncultured bacterium
Lineage: Bacteria
Description: partial 16S ribosomal RNA
Rfam family: Bacterial small subunit ribosomal RNA
Source: RNAcentral